GUGCUUGCUUCAACAGUAUAUAUACAAAAAAUUGGAACGAUCCAGAGAAGAUUAGCAUGGUUGUUGCUUAAUGAUGAUACACACAUUUGUUUCAUUUUAUAUAUAUAG
Small nuclear RNA from Echinops telfairi (small Madagascar hedgehog), 108 nucleotides. NCBI's taxonomy places the organism in Eukaryota, Metazoa, Chordata, Mammalia, Afrosoricida, Tenrecidae. The record is from Ensembl.